Molecule: ribosomal RNA, 462 nt
Filed under: uncultured bacterium
Lineage: Bacteria
Description: partial 16S ribosomal RNA
Rfam family: Bacterial small subunit ribosomal RNA
Source: RNAcentral
GACGAACGCUGGCGGCGUGCUUAACACAUGCAAGUCGAACGGAAAGGCCCUUCGGGGUACUCGAGUGGCGAACGGGUGAGUAACACGUGGGUGAUCUGCCCUGCACUUUGGGAUAAGCCUGGGAAACUGGGUCUAAUACCGAAUAGGACCGCGCGCUUCAUGGUGUGUGGUGGAAAGCUUUUGCGGUGUGGGAUGGGCCCGCGGCCUAUCAGCUUGUUGGUGGGGUAAUGGCCUACCAAGGCGACGACGGGUAGCCGGCCUGAGAGGGUGACCGGCCACACUGGGACUGAGAUACGGCCCAGACUCCUACGGGAGGCAGCAGUGGGGAAUAUUGCACAAUGGGCGCAAGCCUGAUGCAGCGACGCCGCGUGAGGGAUGACGGCCUUCGGGUUGUAAACCUCUUUCACCAGGGACGAAGCGAAAGUGACGGUACCUGGAGAAGAAGCACCGGCCAACUACGUG